CAGCAGCCGCGGUAAAACGUAGGUGGCAAGCGUUGUCCGGAAUUAUUGGGCGUAAAGGGCUCGCAGGCGGUUUCUUAAGUCUGAUGUGAAAGCCCCCGGCUCAACCGGGGAGGGUCAUUGGAAACUGGGAAACUUGAGUGCAGAAGAGGAGAGUGGAAUUCCACGUGUAGCGGUGAAAUGCGUAGAGAUGUGGAGGAACACCAGUGGCGAAGGCGACUCUCUGGUCUGUAACUGACGCUGAGGAGCGAAAGCGUGGUGAGCGAACAGGAUUAGAGACCCCAGUAGUCCCUGUCUCUUAUAU
This 301-nucleotide ribosomal RNA is filed under the name uncultured bacterium. RNAcentral describes it as "partial 16S ribosomal RNA". It matches the Rfam family "Bacterial small subunit ribosomal RNA", at positions 509 to 809 of the family's 1533-position model. The record is from RNAcentral.